Molecule: ribosomal RNA, 557 nt
Filed under: uncultured archaeon
Lineage: Archaea
Description: bacterial SSU rRNA
Rfam family: Archaeal small subunit ribosomal RNA
Source: RNAcentral
CCCUACGGGGCGCAGCAGGCGAGAAAACUUUGCAAUGUGCGAAAGCACGACAAGGUUAAUCCGAGUGGUUUCUGCUAAAGGAACCUUUUGACAGUCCUAGAAACACUGUUGAAUAAGGGGUGGGCAAGUUCUGGUGUCAGCCGCCGCGGUAAAACCAGCACCUCAAGUGGUCAGGAUGAUUAUUGGGCCUAAAGCAUCCGUAGCCGGCUCAGUAAGUUUUCGGUUAAAUCUGUACGCUCAACGUACAGGCUGCCGGGAAUACUGCAGAGCUAGGGAGUGGGAGAGGUAGACGGUACUCGGGAGGAAGUGGUAAAAUGCUUUGAUCUUUCGAUGACCACCUGUGGCGAAGGCGGUCUACCAGAACACGUCCGACGGUGAGGGAUGAAAGCUGGGGGAGCAAACCGGAUUAGAUACCCGGGUAGUCCCAGCUGUAAACUAUGCAAACUCAGUGAUGCAUUGGCUUGUGGCCAAUGCAGUGUUGCAGGGAAGCCGUUAAGUUUGCCGCCUGGGAAGUACGUACGCAAGUAUGAAACUUAAAGGAAUUGGCGGGGGAGCAC